UACGUAGGCAGCGAGCGUUGUUCGGAAUUACUGGGCGUAAAGGGCGCGUAGGCGGCCUGCUAAGUCGAACGUGAAAUCCCCGGGCUCAACCCGGGAACUGCGUCCGAUACUGGAAGGCUUGAAUCCGGGAGAGGGAUGCGGAAUUCCAGGUGUAGCGGUGAAAUGCGUAGAUAUCUGGAGGAACACCGGUGGCGAAGGCGGCAUCCUGGACCGGAAUUGACGCUGAGGCGCGAAAGCCAGGGGAGCAAACGGG
RNAcentral lists this ribosomal RNA (253 nucleotides) under uncultured bacterium. Its description in RNAcentral is "partial 16S ribosomal RNA". It matches the Rfam family "Bacterial small subunit ribosomal RNA", at positions 524 to 776 of the family's 1533-position model. The record is from RNAcentral.